AAUGGAAAAGGAGGGAGAUUUUUGUUUCCGCCCUGCCAGGUGGCUUAAUUUAAUCCUCCCCCCACCUCCCCUCCAGUGUGCGCGCGUUGCCCAUCAUGCAUAGUUGUGUCCUGGUUGUGGUGUAGCCAUCCGACCCUGUUCGUGCCCGGACACGCGCAGAGCUCAGCCAGCGGCAGCAGUGCAGCGCGGCGCCGUCGCCGUUGAUGGAGAGCAGGCGUCCGAGCUCCGUGCUUCUCUUGCUGGUGCUGCUGGCGGCGCCGCUCAUGGUGGCGUCGGCUGGCCCCUCGUCGCCGACGGCGUUCCUGGAGGACGACGUGGUCCUCGGCGCCGUGGCGAGGCUGGGCAAGGGCGCCAACGCCAGCGGGCGGGGCGGCGCCCGCUGCGACGUCGACGUCGACAUCUCCGCCGUCGUUGGCGGGCCGUCGCGCGAGCGCGGCGCGUCCGGGUGGAAGGAGGAGAUCGCGGGGCUGGCGGGGCGGCCGGAGAUGGCGGCGUGGCUGCGGCGGGUGCGGCGGCGGAUCCACGAGCGGCCCGAGCUGGCGUACGAGGAGGUGGAGACGAGCCGGCUGGUCCGCGAGGAGCUGGAGGGCAUGGGCGUCAGCUUCCGGUACCCGCUCGCGCGCACGGGCCUCGUCGCCACCAUCGGAACCGGCCGCCCGCCCGUCGUCGCGCUCCGGGCCGACAUGGACGCGCUGCCCAUCCAGGGCACGGUGAAGCUUCUGUUCCAGCCGGCGGAGGAGUCCGGCGCGGGAGCGAAGCGGAUGAUCGAGGACGGCGCGCUGGAGGGCGUGGAGGCGAUCUUCGCCGUCCACGUGUCGCACCAGCACCCGACGUCCGUGGUCGGGUCCCGGACGGGGCCGCUCCUCGCCGGCUGCGGCUUCUUCAAGGCCCAGAUACUCGCCCGCCGCGCCGGCGCCGACCCGGUCCUCGCCGCCUCGUCCACCAUCAUCAGCCUGCAGAGCCUCGUGUCCCGCGAGGCGGACCCGCUGGACUCACAGGUGGUGUCGGUGGCCAUGGUCAACGGCAGCUUCAGCCUGGGCGGGGACCCGGCGGCGCCGCUGGUGCUGGGCGGCACGUUCCGGGCCUUCUCGAACGCGAGCUUCUACACGCUGCGGCGGCGGAUCGAGGAGGUGAUGACGCUGCAGCCGCGGGUGCACGGCUGCGAGGCCUCCGUCGACUUCUUCGAGAACCAGAGCUUCUAUCCGCCCACGGUGAACCACCCGCGGAUGUACGCGCACGUCAAGGCCACGGCGCGGGCGCUGCUGGGCGACGCCGGCUACCGCGACGUGCCGCCGAUGAUGGGCGCCGAGGACUUCUCCUUCUACUCCCAGGCCGUACCCGCCGGGUUCUACUACGUCGGCGUGCGCAACGAGACGCUGGGGUCCGUGCACACCGGCCACUCCCCCUACUUCAUGAUCGACGAGGACGUGCUCCCCACCGGCGCCGCCGUCCACGCCGCCAUCGCCGAGAGGUACCUCGCCGGCGGCGCCGAGCGCGACGGCGAUCCACGCUCCCCGGAGCAGGAGCCGUGAACCUGCGAUCGGCCGAGACGUACAUACGCUGGCCCGGCCGGUUCUUGUUUAACUGAUCGAUCGACCGGAGUUGCGGUUGCGGGUUCAGUCCCGGGAGGGUGGCGGGAUCGACGUCGCGCGCGAGAGAACCGGUGGUUUUUGGCCGAUCACGCCGUGAUCUGGGCUGUCUUUUCCCCCCUCCGUGCUCGUGUUGGCUCUGAAACUUGCCGUUGAGACGCGGUUACGGUUUGGCUCCCGGGUUUUGCCUGCGGCCUUGUGGGUGUGGCCGUGCGUGUUUGUGCCUGCCGAACGUGAUCGGGAAACAUGCACCUUAGCACCGACAUUAACAUAUUCUGGAGAUUGAGAAGUACUAUCAGCUAUGUACAUAUUUCUUCCGGUGGCAUUUUCUUCUUUGAACGUUUUUCUUUCUUUUGGGUCUUGACUAUAUCAUAUCUAGAUGUGAGAUGAGAUAUUGUCUCACAUCUAAGUUUUGACAUCAGCAGAAAAUCAUUUGUAUUAUUUUUUC
Molecule: ribosomal RNA, 2037 nt
Filed under: Triticum aestivum (bread wheat)
Lineage: Eukaryota; Viridiplantae; Streptophyta; Magnoliopsida; Poales; Poaceae
Description: partial small subunit ribosomal RNA
Source: RNAcentral